RNAcentral lists this unclassified non-coding RNA (1475 nucleotides) under uncultured fungus. Its description in RNAcentral is "sequence contains 18S rRNA gene, ITS1, 5.8S rRNA gene, ITS2, 28S rRNA gene". The stretch from base 534 to 1475 matches the Rfam family "Eukaryotic large subunit ribosomal RNA", at positions 1 to 961 of the family's 3401-position model. Lineage: Eukaryota; Fungi. The record is from RNAcentral.
GGAAGGAUCAUUAAAAAAACAUUAGGAUUUCAUAUUCUUAAAACACCCGCAGUGUACUUGUUCUUGUUGCUUCCGUGGGCAGUAGGCCUUGCGCUUGCGACCUCCUUUCACGGUGGACCCACGGGAGGUAAUCAUAAACUCCAUCAUUAUGUGGUAUCUGUCUGAGCUUGUUUAGUUCAUGAACGUUAAAAACUUUCAACAACGGAUCUCUUGGUUCUCGCAUCGAUGAAGAACGCAGCGAAAUGCGAUAAGUAGUGUGAAUUGCAGAAUUCCCUGAAUCAUCGAAUCUUUGAACGCAUAUUGCGCCUUCCGGCAUUCCGGGAGGCAUGCCUGUUCGAGCGUCAUAUAAACAUCUCGAGCACGAAUUUUUUCAUGCUUGGUAUUGGUCAAGGAUUGAGCCGAUGGCUUGGCUUGUUCCUGUCCGAAAUUUAAUGGCGAGGUCCCAUGUUCCAUUUAGUGUAGUAACUAACAUUAUGUUUCACUUCUGGACUUGAGAGGCUUCUGCCACAAAUCGACCCCCCAAAUCUAAAGUUUGACCUCGGAUCAGGUAGGGAUACCCGCUGAACUUAAGCAUAUCAAUAAGCGGAGGAAAAGAAACCAACAGGGAUUGCCUUAGUAACUGCGAGUGAAGCGGCAAAAGCUCAAAUUUAAAAUCUGGCGCCUGCGGCGUCCGAGUUGUAAUUUGGAGAGACAUUGUCGGGUUGAGCGCCAUCCUAAGUUCCUUGGAACAGGACGUCACAGAGGGUGAGAAUCCCGUGUAUGGAUGGCUGUCUCGGUCUUCGUGUCAUGUCUUCGACGAGUCGAGUUGUUUGGGAAUGCAGCUCAAAAUGGGUGGUAAAUGUCAUCUAAAGCUAAAUAUUGGCGAGAGACCGAUAGCGCACAAGUAGAGUGAUCGAAAGAUGAAAAGCACUUUGAAAAGAGAGUUCAAAAGUACGUGAAAUUGUUGAAAGGGAAGCGCUUGAGACCAGACUCAAUCUGUGGUGAUCAGCAGUGCUUCGGUACUGUGCACUUGCCACUCUUUGGGACAGCAUCGGUUUGAAUGGCGGGAUAAAGGCCUGAGGAAUGUAGCUCUCUUCGGAGAGUGUUAUAGCCUUGAGUGCAAUGCCGCCUAUUCAGACCGAGGACCGCGCUUUUGCUAGGAUGCUGUCAUAAUGGUCUUCAGCGACCCGUCUUGAAACACGGACCAAGGAGUCUAACAUCUAUGCGAGUGUUCGGGUGGAAAACCCUUGCGCGUAAUGAAAGUGAAUGCAGGUGGGAACCUUUUAGGUGUACCAUCGACCGAUCCAAAAGUCUUCGGAUGGAUUUGAGUAAGAGCAUAGCUGUUGGGACCCGAAAGAUGGUGAACUAUGCCUGAAUAGGGUGAAGCCAGAGGAAACUCUGGUGGAGGCUCGCAGCGGUUCUGACGUGCAAAUCGAUCGUCAAAUUUGGGUAUAGGGGCGAAAGACUAAUCGAACCAUCUAGUAGCUGGUUCCUGC